This 299-nucleotide ribosomal RNA is filed under the name fungal sp. Its description in RNAcentral is "partial 18S ribosomal RNA". It matches the Rfam family "Eukaryotic small subunit ribosomal RNA", at positions 548 to 853 of the family's 1831-position model. The record is from RNAcentral. Lineage: Eukaryota; Fungi.
UUGGAGGGCAAGUCUGGUGCCAGCAGCCGCGGUAAUUCCAGCUCCAAUAGCGUAUAUUAAAGUUGUUGCAGUUAAAAAGCUCGUAGUUGAACCUUGGGCCUGGCUGGCCGGUCCGCCUCACCGCGUGCACUGGUCCGGCCGGGCCUUUCCUUCUGGGGAUCCGCAUGCCCUUCACUGGGUGUGUCGGGGAACCAGGACUUUUACUUUGAAAAAAUUAGAGUGUUCAAAGCAGGCCUUUGCUCGAAUACAUUAGCAUGGAAUAAUAGAAUAGGACGGCUUUCCUAUUUUGUUGGUUUUUA